Molecule: ribosomal RNA, 446 nt
Filed under: uncultured bacterium
Lineage: Bacteria
Description: partial 16S ribosomal RNA
Rfam family: Bacterial small subunit ribosomal RNA
Source: RNAcentral
CCUACGGGUGGCAGCAGUCGAGAAUCAUUCACAAUGGGGGAAACCCUGAUGGUGCGACGCCGCGUGGGGGAAUGAAGGUCUUCGGAUUGUAAACCCCUGUCAUGUGGGAGCAAAUUAAAAAGAUAGUACCACAAGAGGAAGAGACGGCUAACUCUGUGCCAGCAGCCGCGGUAAUACAGAGGUCUCAAGCGUUGUUCGGAAUCACUGGGCGUAAAGCGUGCGUAGGCUGUUUCGUAAGUCGCGUGUGAAAGGCGCGGGCUCAACCCGCGAACGGCACAUGAUACUGCGAGACUAGAGUGAUGGAGGGGGAACCGGAAUUCUCGGUGUAGCAGUGAAAUGCGUAGAUAUCGAGAGGAACACUCGUGGCGAAGGCGGGUUCCUGGACAUUAACUGACGCUGAGGCACGAAGGCCAGGGGAGCGAAAGGGAUUAGAUACCCUAGUAGUC